AAUCUCUCUCUCCCGGCUCCGUUAUCCCGAGGAAUCUCUCUCUCCCGGCUCCGUUAUCCCGGGGAUCCCUCGCUCCGGCUCCGUUAUCCCGGGGAUCCCUCGCUCCGGCUCCGUUAUCCCGGGGAUCCCUCGCUCCGGCUCCGUUAUCCCAGCCCGGUCCCGGCUUUCCGGGAGCUCUCCUUAAUCCGGGCUCAGCCGGGCGGGCGAUGCGUGCCCGGCCCUGACCCGGCCCGGCCGGGAUCCGCUCGGGAGCUGCCCCGGGAGCGCCGCCGGGAGGAUCCAAAAAUCCCUGGAAAACCGCGCCGAGGCUGCCGCUGGAACUUGGAGAAUCAUCCAGUGGUUCAGUGCUGAGGGAAUUCUGUGGGAGCAUGGCUGGAGCAGGACACGGGGUCAGGGCGCGGAAUGCAGGCAGUGAUGCGGGCUGCUCCUCCCUGCCUGCCCGGUGGAUCGGCGCCCGGGGGCUGUGACCCCGCCGUGCUGCCUGGCCAUGAGGAGGUUUGGCUACUGCCGGCUGGUGUUGGCCACCUCGCUGCUCUGGCUGCUGCUGGACGUGUUCCUGCUGCUCUACUUCAGCGAGUGCAACAAGUGCGAGGACAGCAAGGAGCGCUCGCUGCUGCCCGCGCUGCGCGGUGAGUGCCGGCGCCUCCGCGGGGUCCAGCACGGCUCUGGGGCUUGGAUCCUCCUUGGCUC
Lonchura striata (white-rumped munia) is the source of this 690-nucleotide non-coding RNA. Lineage: Eukaryota; Metazoa; Chordata; Aves; Passeriformes; Estrildidae. The record is from RefSeq and is a predicted model, not a curated record.